UGAAUGUAGCUCAGUGGUGGGGUGCUCACCUCACAAGUGGGGAGUCGUGGGUUCAAUCCCUAACACCUCAA
Molecule: transfer RNA, 71 nt
Filed under: Marmota monax (woodchuck)
Lineage: Eukaryota; Metazoa; Chordata; Mammalia; Rodentia; Sciuridae
Description: tRNA.Val
Source: RNAcentral